Molecule: ribosomal RNA, 503 nt
Filed under: uncultured bacterium
Lineage: Bacteria
Description: partial 16S ribosomal RNA
Rfam family: Bacterial small subunit ribosomal RNA
Source: RNAcentral
AUUGAACGCUGGCGGCAGGCUUAACACACGCAAGUCGAGCGGGGUGAUGGUGCUUGCACUAUCACUUAGCGGCGGACGGGUGAGUAAUGCUUAGGAAUCUGCCUAUUAGUGGGGGACAACAUCUCGAAGGGGAUGCUAAUACCGCAUACGUCCUACGGGAGAAAGCAGGGGAUCACUUGUGACCUUGCGCUAAUAGAUGAGCCUAAGUCGGAUGAGCUAGUUGGUGGGGUAAAGGCCUACCAAGGCGACGAUCUGUAGCGGGUCUGAGAGGAUGAUCCGCCACACUGGGACUGAGACACGGCCCAGACUCCUACGGGAGGCAGCAGUGGGGAAUAUUGGACAAUGGGGGGAACCCUGAUCCAGCCAUGCCGCGUGUGUGAAGAAGGCCUUAUGGUUGUAAAGCACUUUAAGCGAGGAGGAGGCUCUUUUGGUUAAUACCCAAGAUGAGUGGACGUUACUCGCAGAAUAAGCACCGGCUAACUCUGUGCCAGCAGCCGCCGUAA